Cygnus olor (mute swan) is the source of this 5662-nucleotide long non-coding RNA. RefSeq lists it as uncharacterized. NCBI's taxonomy places the organism in Eukaryota, Metazoa, Chordata, Aves, Anseriformes, Anatidae. The transcript has 4 exons. The record is from RefSeq and is a predicted model, not a curated record.
GCAAUCAAAUCUCUUUAGGCCUUCCCAGAAUUGUGAUUCAUAUUGUCUGAUUCUCAAAAUCCAGACAAAUCCAACAGAAACACUCCUUUAGGUGGAAGAGCAAACAGAAAUGCAGUGUUAUGGAGAGCCUGAAAGCCACUAUUCCCUUGCAGAAGGUGUUUCUGCUGCUUCCUUCUAGAGCUUAUCUAGUAAUUGCCUACAAAGUGUGAACAUGUCUGCACUGAACACCUGGAAUGGAAAGACAUCAUUGGAAAGACCUUUAUUAACUGGUUCCUAAGAUCCACUAUUCAGUUUCACAGGCUUGAAAUACACUGAUUCUCAUGUGUCCUGAAUGACUUCAGAAAAGGAUAUGUUGUAUGGACAAGAGUGGGCUGGGAGCUUCAGUUCAUCAGUCCUCAGAGAUGCCAAGCAGCCACAUCUUCCACUGACUGAGGAGGUGUUGGAGAGAACUGAACAUCUCCUGGGAGAGCCUGGAGAAUCAAAUCAGAGCAAAAAUACAGCAGAGUCAGCAUAGAUACACAACCAUACCUACAUAUAUAUGCACAUUUACACACCCAUAUCAGCCAAUUAGUCUGAUAAACUAGCUAACAUUCUGUCAGAAUUGCUUUUGUUAUGAGUAUAAAAUAGCUACAUAAAUCAGCCAUUUCCCUUCAUUGCAACCCCAGUCAUUGCCAGAGAACAUAUUCCCUUAAGCGCAGUAGAAGCUAAGAGCAGCCAGCACUUUCCCUGACCCCUGUUUCCAGGAUUGCUUUCCAGCGAGUUCUUGCUAUAAGAAGCUCUGUUUUUCCAUCCCAGAUGAAGGUGACUAGGCUUAUCUUACCAUCUGUUUUCUUCUAGUCUCUGGUGCAACAGCUUUCAAGAGGUACAAGGAGGCUUCUGAGACCACGUUCCUUGGCUUUGGCCAUGGUUUGCCAUGUGGCCAAUUGCCUUGGGAAACAGCUUCUAGAAACUCCCAUUCUCUCGCUACAAAGGGCUUUAAUUGUCUUCUGCUCAGUCAUAAUUGUGCCUUGCACAUGUGGCAGUUUGACUAUAGUCUCCAGUUGUAUGCCGAUUAGAUUCUCUUUAGAUGGGAACAGCCUGUGCACAAGCUCCAAAAAAUCGUUAAAAUAUACGCUAAAAGACUUUACAGGAUAGAAUUUUUACAGACACAGGGCCUGGCCUGGCCUGACUCUCCUUCAAGUUGAUGCAAAGAAACCUACUACCCUCAUGUGAUCUCAUUUUUGUUAAAUAAUAAGUAGAAGGAGCAAGAAAUUCAUAGACAUGUUCAAGCUGGUUCAGUAAAGAUAUUUAGAACCUAUACAGAGAAUUUUCUUCUAGGUAUCAUAAAAAGGGACCUUAGAAAUGUUUCUGUUCAGUUACAUUUAAAUAUACCAUGAUGGGAUGCCUUCUAAAGUAAUUGUUUCCUGCAUGCUGUUUGCAAGCUAAGCAUCAAGAGACAAGUUAUAAGUAGCAAUAAACAAACAAACAAACAAAUAAACAAAUAAAAGGUUAGGUUAGGAAGCCCAGCAGUCUCUCAGACCAUAUCACCUGUGCAGAAAGACAGUGGCCACAGCUUAAUUGUUGCUUGAGCACCUAAUGGAGAUGAGCACCAAAAAGAUAUUCACAGCUUUUUCUCAGUAAUCCUUUUGAAAAGAAGAAUAAAAGAGGAACAGUGGUUGUUAAAAGGGAAACCAGAAAACACUGUAGGAUCAGCUCUUGAAUAAAUAUGGUCUGGAUUUCAUUAAACUCCACACACCUCUGCAAAAGCUUCCCCUAGUAACUAAGGGAAGAACAUGCUCCCCAUUACUUUUCCUACUAGAAUAAUUACAGUAUGUUAAGGCACAGCAAGGCAGGUCACAGCAAAGCCUGUUUGGAGUUUGCAUUUCAACUGCAUAUUAUGCACUUGCAUUGUAAUAUAUUCAUACUGACAGCAUCGUUAGGGUGAAUUAAUCUAAAUUAUGUCUAGACGCAUAUUUUCAACAACAAGCAUCAUAGACUGCUUGGUGGCUGACUGCUCAGAGGAAUUAACCAUGGAAAUCUCAGGCAUAAACCUUACAAAUAAACGACUAAAACGAUAAGCAGAAGAAUAAAUUAGUUUAGGCCAUGAUUCAGGAACAAUACCAAAACCUUCUCCAUAUAAUUUUAUUAGUUUAUGUGUUCGUUUACCAGUUUACCAACUUUAAUUGCGAUCACCUCUGCUGGAGAGACAUAACCCAACCGUAAUGCUGUCACAGUCUCAGAAGCCAGCACGAGGGUGCAAGGAAGUCACAGCAAGUCAUUGGAAGCAUUGACUUCUACUUAUGUGCAGUUAAAGUGCCCAGAUAUACCCACACUUUGAAAGAUUUUCAUGAAUAUCCUAUGGCUAUUUUAAGUCAGGUGUGUCAGGAAACUUAGCUAUCAUUUCAACAUUAGUAAAGGUAAAGUCAUACAUUAGCAUUGUUCCACCACUAUUGGUAAUGCGGGAAGAAGGAGGCUUGCAGUUCCUGCUGUUAUUUAUUGUUUGUAAGAGCAAAGGUUUUAGGAGCAACACUGAUUACUUUUAGCAAUUCCCACCUAAGAUAAUCAUUUUAUUACCCAGCUGCAAUGAAUCCACAACACUGCCAGUGCAGCAUGUAAUUAAUUGUAAUUUUAUAGACCACGUAUACACACUACUUCACCCUAAACUCACUGUGGGGUAGAAGCUUGCAAAGGCAGGGCGAUAGACAACAUAUGAGAGGUUUGGAAUUUUGUCAUCACUGGAGCUGUGGCUCUCAGGAGAGCUCUUGGGGCAGCCAGGCAUGCAGGGGACACCCAACCCGGAGGAUGUGUGGCCGAGGAAUCCCCAUGUCACCAGAAAAGACCAUGCUGCUGUGUCACGAUGGCAUUCCCCAGCAGCGGCAUGAGGACAGCGUGUUCCCAGCUCCUGGGAAAAUUAAAUGCUUUCUUCCCUAGCAUGGGGUUUGUUACAGCCUGUUUGGUUUUAAGAUCUUGAUCUGUCUGCAGUAAUGCAACCCUCGUGCGUGCUGUUCGGGAGGACUGGGGAGGGAGGGAGGAAAGGAGGCUGAGCACAAGCAGGGCGCGCUUAGAUGCUGGACAAGAGAAAUGUGAGACCUGACACUGCUUUGGCACCGGAGCUCUCCAUGCUGGAGAGCGCUGGUAAUUUUUAUGCUUGAGGAGACCCACAACAGUAAAUUCAAUAACUCGACAUGCCUAAUUUCUCUGUGGGGAAGCAGGAAGCAUUAGCAUGGGCACAGCCUUCCGUAACACGUCCAAACAGCUUCCAGCCUGGAGAAGGCUUUCACUCGGCUGAGUCAGAGUGCAGGCAGAGUUACCGUCUGUGCAGAUGUGCCUGUAGAUAAAGCAGGUGGGACCAGCGCAGCACUAGUAUUGUACAUGUCUUAUAGAAAUGGGGCUGAGGUAAGAGAGAUGGCAGCACAGAAAGGUCAAAUUCACUUCUUAAGAUUGCUCAAGAGGCCUGAGCCAAACCUUCCUGCAUCCUGGGUAAGUAAAUGCAAGUGCCUUCCUGAGGAAUGGCCUGGACUUGCUCCCUGAAGGCAAAGGUUUACCUGCAGAAGCACUAUUGCUCUUACCUUUAAUAAAUGUUUAGUGAAAUGCUCUGUCAAAAGUUGUUUAGAAAGCAGAAAUGGAGAAGUGAGCUUACCUCUGUGUAUGGCAUUAGUUAACCACUGCUAGAAGCUGGCAUGCAUUUCUGGUCCUCACUCCCAAAGGGAGGCUGAGGAAAUACUACAGACGUUUCAAAGGGGAGCCAGAAAGCUCUCCUGUGGGCUGCCAAGCAAACCAUAGUGGCAGAGACAAAAGGACUGUAAUUUAUUCACUUAAAAAAAAAAAAGGCAAAAAAAAAAAAAAGCCCAAGGUGAUUUACAUAUUUUGUACAAGUGAUAGCAUACAGGAUGGAUGUCUGGGAGUAGAGAGCUUUUAAACUUCUACUGAUAAAGGCAUGACAAGAUCCAAUCGCUGAUAAAUGUCCUUCAGUGGGAGAAACUCCAAAUCACAGGCUGCAAUCAGUCCUGAGGAGCUCACAUGAUUGCCUUUGGGCUAUGAAAGAAUUCCUUCUUUCUCCCUUCUAUAUAUAUUUUGAUUACUUCCCCUACCCACCUAGCACUUUCUGAAGUAUUAGACAUUGGCCACCAGCUGGAAACAGGGCAGUGGUGGCAUCAAACCACUGAUGGAAGUCAGUACGUAGUAUUGGUGUUCUGCUUUGUAUAUCUUCCCCUCAAGCUCAGGGUCAUGCCAACAGACAGAUUUGAGGUUGGAAAAGCAUUUUAUUCUAGGAUAGAUUGUUAAUAAACUUGACGGGUAUUAACUUUAUCUUCAGCAAAAGGUGCAGGUUGCAGUCUGGAAUUCCUUUGUCCCAGGGCCUUCAGGGUGCAGACACUUCUCUCUUCUUUGCACCCGGUGCACGGCUUUUUCUCCCAAGAAUAGAAACAUUUAGUAUAACUGUAGUCUUUGGGACAUGCAGGAAUUCAAAGGAUUCUCUCGGACCAAUAAAAGGACAUCACUACCCGAGUUAAACAUUUUUAAAAAAGUCCCAGAAAGUCCAUCCCAGCCACUGCUCUGUCCUAGUACUGCCUGAACUCCUCAUGGAAGUCCCCCAGACUGGCAGCGACAAGCAGCUUGAAGCUUGCCUCAUUUCUCUUCCACAUCAGGAUCAGUAAAAUGAAACUUUUUCUGUUUGUCUCCCUUUAACAACCUAAUGUAGCAGGUUUUCUUGGAAGCUCCCAAACUGAGCAUACUAGAUUCAAAAUGCAAUGGCAGCAGCUUUUAAAACAUAGCUAGCGAAAAAGAAGGUCUUUAUGUACCUGGCAAAGGGAGAAAAUGCCUAAAUGAGUUAUGGUCUGUUUACACAGGUUUAUUCACCCUUUCUUUGCUUGGGGGAAUUUAAACCCCACAUUUUCAGGGACAAAUCCUUGUUUUUGACAUUCCCUUAAGCACUCUAGAUACAAAGGCUUUUUACAAACAGAUAAACACAAACAGCAGUCAUGAAGUCGCCAUCUUUUGAAGAAAAAUGCAAUGUCCAUUGAAUGUAUUGGAAGGAAGAGUAUACUGAUAUGUUCUUUCUAAUGUAAAUUAAGGCCUGGGAAUACUGAGUGAAAGUACUGAGAUACCUGCCUGCAAGGAGAAGUGGAAUACUGGAGUUUUAGCCCAAUUCUUAUCAGUUUCCCAUCAGCUUGGCUACCCUUCUCUUUUAUCCUCUCUGUGGCAUACAAUGCUCCUCUGCACUGUAUGAGGAGCCUAACCAGAACCAACAGUGCAUCAGGAGACUGAAAGAAAACAACAGCAGCAACAACAACAACAACAAAAAGAGCUUCUGUAUGUUAGUCCUUUGGUGGACCCGAAAUUUCUACCUGAAUAAGAGAGAAACAACAAGCCAAAGAAGAAAACUAAAAGUAUAUUCGGUAUAUGGUUACUUUCGUAAAGUGCCCGUGAGAAACACAUGGGCUUUUUAUGAAACCUUUUGUCACAAAUGAAGUUAUUCUAUGAGCAGCAAGAAAAGAAAAAAAAAUCUUUGGUGUGAAACAAGAAUUUUUGGCAUGGUUCUUUCAUUCACUUUUUAAGCAUUCUGUUUAAUGGAAACACACCUAAGUGAGCAGUCUGUAUAUGUAGCCCUGUUUCCCCUUAGCUUUUGAACUUACUUGUUGAUUUGAAUCAAAUUUGACAUAAGAAUAAAACACUGCUUGAACAC